UAAACCGUAAGGUGAUGUAUAGGGGCUGACGCCUGCCCGGUGCUGGAAGGUUAAGAGGAGUGGUUAGCUUCUGCGAAGCUACGAAUCGAAGCCCCAGUAAACGGCGGCCGUAACUAUAACGGUCCUAAGGUAGCGAAAUUCCUUGUCGGGUAAGUUCCGACCUGCACGAAUGGCGUAACGACUUCUCUGCUGUCUCAACCACGAACUCGGCGAAAUUGCAUUACGAGUAAAGAUGCUCGUUACGCGCGGCAGGACGAAAAGACCCCGGGACCUUCACUAUAGCUUGGUAUUGGUGUUUGGUUCGGUUUGUGUAGGAUAGGUGGGAGACUGUGAAGCUCAUGCGCUAGUGUGGGUGGAGUCGUUGUUGAAAUACCACUCUGGUUAUAGCGUGUGCCUAAACCUUGGCCCGUGAUCCGGGUUAGGGACAGUGCCUGGUGGGUAGUUUAACUGGGG
Molecule: ribosomal RNA, 453 nt
Filed under: Scrippsiella hangoei
Lineage: Eukaryota; Dinophyceae; Peridiniales; Peridiniaceae
Description: partial Bacterial large subunit ribosomal RNA
Rfam family: Bacterial large subunit ribosomal RNA
Source: RNAcentral